CGGGACGGGUGAGUAAUGCUUGGGAAGUCUGGCUUAUGGAGGGGGAUAACUACGGGAAACUGUAGCUAAUACCGCGUAAUAUCGAAGAUUAAAGUGUGGACCUUCGGGCCACAUGCCAUAGGAUGAGCCCAAGUGGGAUUAGGUAGUUGGUGAGGUAAAGGCUCACCAAGCCGACGAUCUCUAGCUGGUCUGAGAGGAUGACCAGCCACACUGGGACUGAGACACGGCCCAG
This 232-nucleotide ribosomal RNA is filed under the name uncultured bacterium. RNAcentral's name for it is "partial 16S ribosomal RNA". It matches the Rfam family "Bacterial small subunit ribosomal RNA", at positions 100 to 334 of the family's 1533-position model. The record is from RNAcentral.